AAAUUAUCUAAAUUCAUAGUUAGAUUACGUGUAACAUUUCCACUCAACUUUUGAGUAUACAAAUACAUUAUUUCUCACAGACCGUAUGGUUGAUAUCUGAGAUCCCAAAUUUAAGCUCUAAUUAUUUCACAAAUCUAACUGAAUUUAUUUUUAAAAAAUAAAUAAAACAGAUAUUAAAUAUAAAGCAAUUAGUUGAGAGGUUUAUUUUUACUUUAAAGAGAAAAAAUAGUAAGUUAUCUAUUUUAUUCAUUUUUUAUAAAUUUCAACUCAGCUAAAUAUAAAGCAAUUAGUUUUUAAACGUAAAAUUUCGAAUAUCAAUCAUCAAGCGCGGAUCGCACUAGAUAUUAAAUUAUAUAAAAUAAUUAUUUGUUCUUUAAAAAUUUAAACUAUCAAAAAAUGAUGUUUUUAAUAUUAAUAUUUAUAUUCAACACACUCAGCACAUCUAGACUCGCAAUCAAAAUA
RNAcentral lists this long non-coding RNA (462 nucleotides) under Ananas comosus (pineapple). RNAcentral describes it as "long non-coding RNA (ACOM_LNC018652)". Lineage: Eukaryota; Viridiplantae; Streptophyta; Magnoliopsida; Poales; Bromeliaceae. The record is from RNAcentral.